RNAcentral lists this ribosomal RNA (720 nucleotides) under Fusarium avenaceum. Its description in RNAcentral is "partial large subunit ribosomal RNA". It matches the Rfam family "Eukaryotic large subunit ribosomal RNA", at positions 85 to 835 of the family's 3401-position model. Lineage: Eukaryota; Fungi; Ascomycota; Sordariomycetes; Hypocreales; Nectriaceae. The record is from RNAcentral.
AACGGCGAGUGAAGCGGCAACAGCUCAAAUUUGAAAUCUGGCUUUCGGGCCCGAGUUGUAAUUUGUAGAGGAUACUUUUGAUGCGGUGCCUUCCGAGUUCCCUGGAACGGGACGCCAUAGAGGGUGAGAGCCCCGUCUGGUUGGAUGCCAAAUCUCUGUAAAGUUCCUUCGACGAGUCGAGUAGUUUGGGAAUGCUGCUCUAAAUGGGAGGUAUAUGUCUUCUAAAGCUAAAUAUUGGCCAGAGACCGAUAGCGCACAAGUAGAGUGAUCGAAAGAUGAAAAGCACUUUGAAAAGAGAGUUAAAAAGUACGUGAAAUUGUUGAAAGGGAAGCGUUUAUGACCAGACUUGGACUUGGUUAAUCAUCUGGGGUUCUCCCCAGUGCACUUUUCCAGUUCAGGCCAGCAUCAGUUUUCGCCGGGGGAUAAAGGCUUCGGGAAUGUAGCUCUCUUCGGGGAGUGUUAUAGCCCGUUGUGUAAUACCCUGGUGGAGACUGAGGUUCGCGCUUCUGCAAGGAUGCUGGCGUAAUGGUCAUCAACGACCCGUCUUGAAACACGGACCAAGGAGUCGUCUUCGUAUGCGAGUGUUCGGGUGUCAAACCCCUACGCGUAAUGAAAGUGAACGCAGGUGAGAGCUUCGGCGCAUCAUCGACCGAUCCUGAUGUUCUCGGAUGGAUUUGAGUAAGAGCAUACGGGGCCGGACCCGAAAGAAGGUGAACUAUG